GACGAACGCUGGCGGCGUGCCUAAUACAUGCGAGUCGAGCGAGCGGAACCAACAGAUUUACUUCGGUAAUGACGUUGGGAAAGCGAGCGGCGGAUGGGUGAGUAACACGUGGGGAACCUGCCCCUAAGUCUGGGAUACCAUUUGGAAACAGGUGCUAAUACCGGAUAAGAAAGCAGAUCGCAUGAUCAGCUUUUAAAAGGCGGCGUAAGCUGUCGCUAAGGGAUGGCCCCGCGGUGCAUUAGCUAGUUGGUAAGGUAACGGCUUACCAAGGCAACGAUGCAUAGCCGAGUUGAGAGACUGAUCGGCCACAUUGGGACUGAGACACGGCCCAAACUCCUACGGGAGGCAGCAGUAGGGAAUCUUCCACAAUGGACGCAAGUCUGAUGGAGCAACGCCGCGUGAGUGAAGAAGGUUUUCGGAUCGUAAAGCUCUGUUGUUGGUGAAGAAGGAUAGAGGUAGUAACUGGCCUUUAUUUGACGGUAAUCAACCAGAAAGUCACGGCUAACUACGUG
This 512-nucleotide ribosomal RNA is filed under the name uncultured bacterium. Its description in RNAcentral is "partial 16S ribosomal RNA". It matches the Rfam family "Bacterial small subunit ribosomal RNA", at positions 28 to 507 of the family's 1533-position model. The record is from RNAcentral.